RNAcentral lists this ribosomal RNA (519 nucleotides) under uncultured bacterium. RNAcentral describes it as "bacterial SSU rRNA". It matches the Rfam family "Bacterial small subunit ribosomal RNA", at positions 993 to 1509 of the family's 1533-position model. The record is from RNAcentral.
UCGCGGACUCCAGAGACGGAGUUCUUCAGUUCGGCUGGACCGGAGACAGGUGCUGCAUGGCUGUCGUCAGCUCGUGUCGUGAGAUGUUGGGUUAAGUCCCGNAACGAGCGCAACCCCCGUCCUUAGUUGCUACCAUUUAGUUGAGCACUCUAAGGAGACUGCCGGUGAUAAGCCGCGAGGAAGGUGGGGAUGACGUCAAGUCCUCAUGGCCCUUACGGGCUGGGCUACACACGUGCUACAAUGGCGGUGACAAUGGGAAGCGAAGACGCAAGUCCUAGCAAAUCUCAAAAAGCCGUCUCAGUUCGGAUUGGGCUCUGCAACUCGAGCCCAUGAAGUUGGAAUCGCUAGUAAUCGUGGAUCAGCACGCCACGGUGAAUACGUUCCCGGGCCUUGUACACACCGCCCGUCACACCAUGGGAGUUGGUUUUACCUGAAGACGGUGCGCUAACCGCAAGGAGGCAGCCGGCCACGGUAGGGUCAGCGACUGGGGUGAAGUCGUAACAAGGUAAGCGUAGAUGA